GUUAUAGGGUCAAGUGAAUAAGAGCAUGUGGUGGAUGCCUUGGCAAUGAUAGGCGACGAAAGACGUGAAAGCCUGCGAUAAGCUUCGGGGAGCUGGCAAAUAAGCAUUGAUCCGGAGAUUUCUGAAUGGGGAAACCCACCCUUAGGGGUAUCGCAUGAUGAAUACAUAGUCAUGCGAGGCGAACCGGGUGAACUGAAACAUCUCAGUAGCUCGAGGAAAAGACAUCAACCGAGAUUCCGAAAGUAGUGGCGAGCGAAAUCGGAAGAGCCUGUUAGUGAUAGCACAACUGUUAGCAAAGCGGCAUGGAAAGGCCGGCCAUAGUGGGUGAUAGCCCCGUAUGCGAAAACAGAUGUGUGGUACUGAGCUAACGACAAGUAGGGCGGGACACGAGAAAUCCUGUCUGAAUAUGGGGGGACCAUCCUCCAAGGCUAAAUACUCAUCAUUGACCGAUAGUGAACAAGUACCGUGAGGGAAAGGCGAAAAGAACCCCGGGAGGGGAGUGAAAUAGAUCCUGAAACCGCAUGCUUACAAAAAGUAGGAGCCUCGAAAGGGGUGACUGCGUACCUUUUGUAUAAUGGGUCAGCGACUUACAUUCAGUGGCAAGGUUAACCGAAUAGGGAAGCCGUAGAGAAAUCGAGUCCGAAUAGGGCGAUCAGUCGCUGGGUGUAGACCCGAAACCAAGUGAUCUAUCCAUGGGCAGGAUGAAGGUGCCGUAACAGGUACUGGAGGUCCGAACCGACUAAUGUUGCAAAAUUAGCGGAUGACCUGUGGAUAGGGGUGAAAGGCUAAACAAACUUGGAAAUAGCUGGUUCUCUCCGAAAACUAUUUAGGUAGUGCCUCAAGUAUUACCAUCGGGGGUAGAGCACUGUUUUGGCUAGGGGGUCAUGGCGACUUACCAAACCAAGGCAAACUCCGAAUACCGAUGAGUACAGCUUGGGAGACAGAGCACCGGGUGCUAACGUCCGGACUCAAGAGGGAAACAACCCAGACCGCCAGCUAAGGUCCCUAAAAUUGGCUAAGUGGGAAACGAAGUGGGAAGGCUAAAACAGUCAGGAUGUUGGCUUAGAAGCAGCCAUCAUUUAAAGAAAGCGUAAUAGCUCACUGAUCGAGUCGUCCUGCGCGGAAGAUGUAACGGGGCUAAGCCAGUUACCGAAGCUGCGGAUUUGCAAUUUAUUGCAAGUGGUAGGAGAGCGUUCUGUAGGCCUGUGAAGGUGGUGGUGUAAACCCUGCUGGAGGUAUCAGAAGUGCGAAUGCUGACAUGAGUAGCGUUAAAGGGGGUGAAAAGCCCCCUCGCCGUAAGCGCAAGGUUUUCUACGCAACGUUCAUCGGCGUAGAGUGAGUCGGCCCCUAAGGCGAGGCAGAGAUGCGUAGCUGAUGGGAAACAGGUCAAUAUUCCUGUACCGAUUACAAGUGCGAUGUGGGGACGGAGAAGGUUAGCUCAGCCAACUGUUGGAUAUGUUGGUUCAAGCCUGUAGUCAUGCCUGGUAGGCAAAUCCGCCGGGCUAAGAUGAGGGGUGAUAACGAGUGUGCUUGCACACGAAGUGAGUGAUACCCUGCUUCCAGGAAAAGCCACUAAGCUUCAGCUUGUAAUUGACCGUACCGCAAACCGACACUGGUGCGCGAGAUGAGUAUUCUAAGGCGCUUGAGAGAACUCAGGAGAAGGAACUCGGCAAAUUGAUACCGUAACUUCGGGAGAAGGUAUGCCCCUAGUAGGUGAACUUGAACAAAGGGAGCCCAACGGGGUUGCAAAAAAUCGGUGGCUGCGACUGUUUAAUAAAAACACAGCACUCUGCAAACACGAAAGUGGACGUAUAGGGUGUGACGCCUGCCCGGUGCUGGAAGAUUAAAUGAUGGGGUGCAAGCUCUUGAUUGAAGUCCCAGUAAACGGCGGCCGUAACUAUAACGGUCCUAAGGUAGCGAAAUUCCUUGUCGGGUAAGUUCCGACCUGCACGAAUGGCGUAACGAUGGCCACACUGUCUCCUCCUGAGACUCAGCGAAGUUGAAAUGUUUGUGAUGAUGCAAUCUCCCCGCGGAAAGACGGAAAGACCCCAUGAACCUUUACUGUAGCUUUGUAUUGGACUUUGAACAGAUCUGUGUAGGAUAGGUGGGAGGCUUUGAAGCCGGAACGCUAGUUUCGGUGGAGCCAACGUUGAAAUACCACCCUGGUGUGUUUGAGGUUCUAACCUAGGUCCAUUAUCUGGAUCGGGGACAGUGCAUGGUAGGCAGUUUGACUGGGGCGGUCUCCUCCCAAAGCGUAACGGAGGAGUUCGAAGGUACGCUAGUUACGGUCGGACAUCGUGAUAAUAGUGCAAUGGCAUAAGCGUGCUUAACUGCGAGACUGACAAGUCGAGCAGAUACGAAAGUAGGACAUAGUGAUCCGGUGGUUCUGUAUGGAAGGGCCAUCGCUCAACGGAUAAAAGGUACUCUGGGGAUAACAGGCUGAUACCGCCCAAGAGUUCAUAUCGACGGCGGUGUUUGGCACCUCGAUGUC
RNAcentral lists this ribosomal RNA (2491 nucleotides) under Limnohabitans sp. Jir72. Its description in RNAcentral is "bacterial LSU rRNA". It matches the Rfam family "Bacterial large subunit ribosomal RNA", at positions 1 to 2533 of the family's 2925-position model. Lineage: Bacteria; Pseudomonadati; Pseudomonadota; Betaproteobacteria; Burkholderiales; Comamonadaceae. The record is from RNAcentral.